AUGGCUCAGGAUGAACGCUAGCGGCAGGCUUAACACAUGCAAGUCGAGGGGUAACAGGUAGCUUGCUAUGCUGACGACCGGCGCACGGGUGCGUAACGCGUAUAGAACCUACCUUAUAGUAAGGGAUAGCCCAGAGAAAUUUGGAUUAAUACCUUAUAGUAUUAUUGAAUGGCAUCGUUUAAUAAUUAAAGAUUUAUUGCUAUAAGAUGGCUAUGCGUUCUAUUAGCUAGUUGGUAUGGUAACGGCAUACCAAGGCUACGAUAGAUAGGGGUCCUGAGAGGGAGAUCCCCCACACUGGUACUGAGACACGGACCAGACUCCUACGGGAGGCAGCAGUGAGGAAUAUUGGACAAUGGAGGCAACUCUGAUCCAGCCAUGCCGCGUGUAGGAAGACUGCCCUAUGGGUUGUAAACUACUUUUAUAGAGGAAGAAACGGCACUACGUGUAGUGUUUUGACGGUACUCUAACGAUAAGGU
RNAcentral lists this ribosomal RNA (476 nucleotides) under marine bacterium 13731. Its description in RNAcentral is "bacterial SSU rRNA". It matches the Rfam family "Bacterial small subunit ribosomal RNA", at positions 19 to 492 of the family's 1533-position model. Lineage: Bacteria; Pseudomonadati; Bacteroidota. The record is from RNAcentral.